Molecule: long non-coding RNA, 545 nt
Filed under: Ictidomys tridecemlineatus (thirteen-lined ground squirrel)
Lineage: Eukaryota; Metazoa; Chordata; Mammalia; Rodentia; Sciuridae
Description: lncRNA (ENSSTOG00000032156.1)
Source: RNAcentral
GUAUAUUAAACUUUGGUUUAUAUCAAUACAUUAAUAUUUGACUUUAGAGAAAAACCUUGAGUAGAUUUUACUGAUUGUGUUACUUAUGUAUAACCAACUUAAUCACACACAAACCUUUUAAAAUUUACAUUUCAUUUAUAUAGACAUUUUUAUCACUUAAUUAUAUUCUUUUUUUUAAUUUAGAUGUUUUACAACUUUACUACAUAAAGAGUCUCUUACCCAGUGGAAGGUCCUAGCUUAGCAUCUGGAUGACCAUCUUAAGCAUCAGCUGCCAUCUUAAGAAAAAGCUGAUGCCCAAUGUGGUACCUGAACAUCUGAAACAGGGACCAUUCUGGAUGUAUUAAUGGAGAAGGGAGUAGCUUAUCACCUGGAGCAGGCUGAUGCGUGACUUUCAUCAGCUGGUACUGAUCCCCAUUGGUGUGCAGCCUCAUCUGUCCUGCAUCAUUUGGCAAUCCACAUGGGAUGGAAAUGGUGAAGUUGCCUCUCUUGUCUCUGGAGUCUGGGAUGUUGGAGGACAUUGCUUCCCCUUAGCACACCACAGAGGC